This 21-nucleotide microRNA is filed under the name Vitis vinifera (wine grape). RNAcentral's name for it is "vvi-miR2950-3p". The record is from miRBase by way of RNAcentral. Lineage: Eukaryota; Viridiplantae; Streptophyta; Magnoliopsida; Vitales; Vitaceae.
UGGUGUGCACGGGAUGGAAUA